Molecule: long non-coding RNA, 473 nt
Organism: Zea mays
Lineage: Eukaryota; Viridiplantae; Streptophyta; Magnoliopsida; Poales; Poaceae
Exons: 2
Source: RefSeq, a predicted model, not a curated record
GACAAGUGUCAUGACAACAAUUAUCAUAUAUCUUCCUGAAGCUUGCAACAGGGUACUUCCGAAGGCAAUUUGCACACAUAAACAAAUUACCUGAAGACGACUAUGUACGUUCAACAUGAAAUCAUGAAAGUGAAUACGUUUUUUUCUCCAAUUAGAUGGCCUGCCAAGACAAUAAUAUCAGUUAUCUGAAGUGAAGAAUGCACGCACUGCAGGUUCCAACAACAAAUUGGAGAACUGCGAAGGCAUCAAGCACAAAUUUUGAUUAUUUGCUUAUCUUUCAUCCAAGCCACUUACCCUGGAAGUCCUAAAGACAGUGCUGGGAUGCAAUCAGGGAAGAUUUAUAAACUGCUGAUCAACCCCAAAGUCAGAAAGCAUCAAAAUUUUCCACUAAUGAUUCAGUCAUUACCUUAGUGACUAUGAUUUAUAGUACUAUAAUCACAUUUAAUGACUUCAAGCCAAUUCUCUAUUCUCUA